Molecule: long non-coding RNA, 884 nt
Organism: Helianthus annuus (common sunflower)
Lineage: Eukaryota; Viridiplantae; Streptophyta; Magnoliopsida; Asterales; Asteraceae
Exons: 2
Source: RefSeq, a predicted model, not a curated record
AGGUCGCUGAAUAAAACAGCGAGGUUCAUGUAAGUUGUUAAAAUCAGCGAUGUUCAGUCUGUGUCACGGAACUCAGGGAAAGAACAGGCUUUUGGCAGAAUUCUUAUUAAACUUUGCUAAUUUGAAUGGCAAACUACCUAAGUUUGCUUUUUCUCAUGGAGUAUACCAAAGGCUAUAAGGUAUGGUGAUGGUUCUCCCUUGGAGGAUGGUCCGCCACGUAAGCACCACGUAGGAUGGGCAUUAGGAUGGGGCAAAGAGGAUGGAGGUAUGAAAAUGGGGGAUGAUCCUAAAUAUAUAUAUAUGUUUGUGAGGUAGUUUUGUCCUCACAUGGACCGUCCCCAUCGGCAAGAAGAAGACGUUCACGACGCGACGGAGGGGGGCGAGCUGGAUGGUGGAACGGCGCCGGAGCUGGACGACGGAGGACGAACCUCCAUACCGUCCAGCCUAAAGUGUUGCAAAAAUCGCGAUUACUCGGCGAUUAAUCGCCGACUAGUCGCUAGUCGGCCUCCUACUGAGUAAUUUUUCACUAAUCAGUCAAAAAAUCGCUAGUCGGUCAAAGCCGGUCCAAGCCGCCCUAGUCGGCCCAAGCCGCCCUAGUCGGCCCAUUUGAAAUCCUUACAAAAUAGGCCCAAGAUUACAACUUUAGCCCAUUUUCCUUAUCUCUUACCCUAAUAUGACGAAGAAUUUGAGUCGGAGAAAGAGGAUGAAGUAGACGAGGAGAUUGAAUACGAGUCGGAUGGUGUUCAAAUCAUUGAACACUACGGGGAUGACGAUUAUAUUUGAGCUAUUUGUUAAUGUUUGAAUUUUAAGUACAGAGACUUGUUAUGUUAUGACUUAUAUGUAAGUUUAGUUUGUAUUUUGAACUACUUUUACCUUUUUAAGUA